GAAAUCAUAUUGUCCUCUACUCAAGAAGGCUAGUAAAAAAUUCAGAAAAUCUUAAAAAAAGAAAGCUUAUGUAGCAUGGAAAGAUUGAUAAGGAAUCCUCAGAUGAUGAAUAAGAAAAAGAAAGCAUUUGUCUAAGGGAAAAUCACCAAGAUGACAUGGUAACCUCUCACUUCUCCUAUCAUGACUUAUUUAGAAUCUGUAAAAAAAACUAACAAAAGAAACAAACAAGAUAGAAA
This 236-nucleotide long non-coding RNA is filed under the name Lathyrus oleraceus (garden pea). RNAcentral describes it as "Pisum sativum (pea) long non-coding RNA (PSAT_LNC013315)". The record is from RNAcentral. Lineage: Eukaryota; Viridiplantae; Streptophyta; Magnoliopsida; Fabales; Fabaceae.